GUGUGUGUGGCGUACUGAUUAACGCUUCUGACUCCUGAUCGGAAUAUUCCACAUUCGAAUCCUGACACACUCG
RNAcentral lists this transfer RNA (73 nucleotides) under Hydatigera taeniaeformis. RNAcentral describes it as "Taenia taeniaeformis tRNA". It matches the Rfam family "tRNA". From Rfam's summary of the family: Transfer RNA (tRNA) molecules are approximately 80 nucleotides in length. The record is from Rfam by way of RNAcentral. Lineage: Eukaryota; Metazoa; Platyhelminthes; Cestoda; Cyclophyllidea; Taeniidae.